AAGUUUCUGUGCUUGUAAUCUGCA
This 24-nucleotide microRNA is filed under the name Populus tomentosa. RNAcentral's name for it is "Pto-N7". The record is from RNAcentral. Lineage: Eukaryota; Viridiplantae; Streptophyta; Magnoliopsida; Malpighiales; Salicaceae.